AGGUGUGUCGAAACGGAGCGCUUUCUGCACACCUGUGAUGGGGCGAAGAAUCUCUCCUCUUCCUCCUUCCUUUCCUCCUUCUCCCCUCCGUCCUCCUCCUCUCCAUCCUCCUCCUCUUCCUCUGAGGCCGGGUUGAGUCAUCAUUCUGGAAACCUUCUCCAGCUCUUCCUCGGGAGGGAGACGCCUGCGUGGAAUGCUUCCCGACUUAACCCUUUUCUGGUGCUAAAGAUCGCCCAAGAGUCGGGACAAGAGGGGACAGGCUAUGGUUACCCUGAUUACUCUCUGCUGGACAGCCCAGGAAGGGCAGAGUCACGGACACGGCCCGGCCUUCCUGCAGGCAUCCAGAAAGCUCAUAGGAACCCAGGCUCCACCUAUACACUACAAAAUUUACGAGCAACCCAGAAAGAUCCUUCAGCAAUAAUUCCUACAUGGGCUCAACUUCUAGGUGCAGCCAGCUUUCCUUUAGACGUGCGGGGCCUCUGUGGACACCGUGGAUGGCAUGGGCAUACAAGAACUGAGAAACGCAUGCCCUGUCUUGUCACCAACAAAAGUGCCCCGAGACACCAAGCUUCACACACGCAGGACCAGAGUUCCCCUCAUACUCAGAGCAGCAGCUAGGGCAUCACAGCUGUUUUCCACGGCUCUUCCUGCAGCGUGUACAUGCACGCAGAAAUGGCCCUUAGGAGUCAAGGGGCCUUCUUCUUAUUUGCUUUUCUACAAGAUAACUUUCCCAAAAGAGCACUGGAGUUAGGAGGAGGAAGUCAGAGUUACAGGUGCAGCCAGAGUCCUGAUGGAGCCCCGAGUCAUCUGACUUACAGGGAUGAAUCUUUUGAGGCCGGCAGAGGGGCUGAGGAGGGUCAGGCUUGGCUGUUCAUGGCCACGGGCUGCUGAUUUAUAACCUCAGAAUGGGCUCCAGGUUGGAGCGAAUGCUUGAUUGAAUACUGCAUCUACCACAGGCCUCCCUCCAGGAUGCCUGCUUCCAGCCUCAGGAUGAGGGGACAGUGGGCUUCCCUGUGGUGGGUGGAGCUCCUUCUGGAGCGGGUUUAGAGCCCACCUGACCCUGGACACCAGGUACCUCCUGAAGAAGAGCUAGAAAUAAAGCAUCAACAGAGACGUCA
Molecule: long non-coding RNA, 1118 nt
Filed under: Sus scrofa (pig)
Lineage: Eukaryota; Metazoa; Chordata; Mammalia; Artiodactyla; Suidae
Description: lncRNA (ENSSSCG00025058611.1)
Source: RNAcentral